Molecule: long non-coding RNA, 840 nt
Organism: Hyla sarda
Lineage: Eukaryota; Metazoa; Chordata; Amphibia; Anura; Hylidae
Exons: 4
Source: RefSeq, a predicted model, not a curated record
GCCAAUCAGAGAGCAGCACUACUGAAAUAGAACUCCCAGGAGGUAACAGCGUGUCACACAUGUGAUGUCAUAACCAUUGUCCACCAAAGAGCAGCACUGAGCAGAAAUAACACUGCUCCUGUUCAUUCUUCAUCAGAAAGGGGCCGGUGCUGGACACUGUGUAGGGACGAGGGAAUGCAAAGUCAUACACAUGACUGUGACUGAUGCACUAUUUCCAGGACAUGGAGUAGCAUUUCCGGACCUACAGCAAGACGUUGGAUGAAGGCAUAGCCCCAGAAAUAACACUGCUCCUGUUCAUCAGUGAGGGGCCGGUGCUGGACACUGUGUAGGGACGAGGGAAUGCAAAGUCAUGCACAUGACUGUGACUGAUGCACUAUCUCCAGGACAUGGAGUAGCAUUUCCGGACCUACAGCAAGACGUUGGAUGAAGGCAUAGCCCCAGAAAUAACACUGCUCAUGUUCAUCAGUGAGGGGCCGGUGCUGGACACUGUGUAGGGACACGGGAAUGCAAAGUCAUGCACAUGACUGUGACUGAUGCACUAUUUCCAGGACAUGGAGUAGCAUUUCGGGACCUACAGCAAGACGUUGGAUGAAGGCACAGGCCUAGGAAUCAUGCACAUACACAGAAACAUUUGCCCAAAUUAUAGAGGUAACCUCCUUUAGUAUGCCCAGAGGAAGGGCAAUACAGUAGCCAUGGAUUCCCUACAGGUUUCCUCCCCUCUGGAGGUUUUUCCUGUCCUGAGUAUUAGUUACUGUACGCUCUUUGUGAGUGAUGGGAGGUUACAAAAAAUCCCCUACACAAACAUUUUAAUAAAUUAUAAAUAAAGUUCCACUUUUUUUA